Molecule: long non-coding RNA, 1324 nt
Filed under: Gallus gallus (chicken)
Lineage: Eukaryota; Metazoa; Chordata; Aves; Galliformes; Phasianidae
Source: RNAcentral
CGCCUCCGUUUAUUGACCCACGACCCAGCAAGGGGUCCCCCCAACGACGCCCCCUCACCCCUCUCCCUGUGCCCGCCGGCCCCACGCCUCCUCGGGGGGCUCCAGCUUGGCUGCCCCCGGCCCCUCCAAGCGCAGAGCAUCCCCGUCUCCGGGGGAGCCGGCAGAGGAAUCCCCCUCCCCGAGGCGGAAGAGCACCGGCGUUCGGCCAAGGACGGGGUUGGUCUGCUGCAGCCCCGCGAUCCACUUGGCCAAGGUGUGCUGGUUGCCAUCCCCUGCCAUGCACAGCGCGAAGACGGGGCCCUCCUCCACCUCAUCCACAUCGAACUCGUCGUCGUCCCACGGGCCACGCUCCAGGUCCAGGUCAAGGUACAGGGGAUAGUAAAGGCUGCGCUCAGGGUCAGGGGGAGGUUCCCGCAGAUGGGGGGGGAGAGGGUCCCCCCGCAGCACGUAGUAGAGCAGGCGGGUGCUGCGCAGCCACAGUGGGAAAGGGCCCUCCACAAAGACGGGGCGUUCCGGGCCAUGCCGGGCCAGCAGCUCCUGCUGUUCUGCGCUCUGGAUGCCGACGAUGUAGGGCUGCGUAGAGCCCUCGUCGUCCCCCUCCUCUGGCUGGGGCUGCUGGUAGACACUCAGCCGGGCGUCGGGGUCAUUGGCGAUGCGACGCAGACCCAGGCAGGCUGCAGCCAGGCCGGGAGGGGGCAACUGAGCCGGCAGUGGGUAGGGGUUGGCAUGGCGCAUCCGUGGCAGCCAGUAGAGCAUCCGCUGGCACUUCCGCACAGGACGACUGCGGGGCCCAAAGAUGGCCAGCAGCAGGAAGCGCGUCUCCGCAUCCGGCACCACACCGUAUCUCUCCAUCUGCUCCAGGACCUGCAGGCCGCAUUCCUGCUGCCUUGGAAAGGGGGCGAAGAGGCGGUGGAGGGGUCCCCGUGGCACCCACGGCCCGCGGGGCAGCAGCCGCAGCAGCCGGUUGUAGGCGUCCAGCUGCCGGGCCACCCCCAGUGCCGGCAUGGCCGCCAGCGCCGCUGCCACCAGCUCCAGGCGCCCCAGCCUCCGGCCCGGCGUCCGCUCCAGCUCCGUUAACGCUGCCGCAAAGGCGGCGGGGCCGCCCCCCGGCUCCUCAUCCCGUGCUGUGGGCUGCGGGCCGCGGUCGGACGGUGGCUCCGGGCCGCUGUCGGCGCUGCGGUGGCACAUGGGGCGAGCGGCCUUCGGGGCCCCGCAGCCCCCCCACAGCCUCAGGGGGAGCGCCCGGGCCCAGCUCAGCCUCAUGGCGCCGAUGUUCGGAUCCGACCGCCUCUCAGCAGCCUCCGGGCGCCGCCAUUGCGCUGAC